This 274-nucleotide ribosomal RNA is filed under the name uncultured bacterium. RNAcentral describes it as "partial 16S ribosomal RNA". It matches the Rfam family "Bacterial small subunit ribosomal RNA", at positions 523 to 796 of the family's 1533-position model. The record is from RNAcentral.
AUACGGAGGGGGUUAGCGUUGUUCGGAAUUACUGGGCGUAAAGCGCACGUAGGCGGACUGGAAAGUUGGGGGUGAAAUCCCGGGGCUCAACCUCGGAACUGCCUCCAAAACUUCCAAUCUAGAGAUCGAGAGAGGUGAGUGGAAUUCCAAGUGUAGAGGUGAAAUUCGUAGAUAUUUGGAGGAACACCAGUGGCGAAGGCGGCUCACUGGCUCGAUACUGACGCUGAGGUGCGAAAGCGUGGGGAGCAAACAGGAUUAGAUACCCCGGUAGUCC